Non-coding RNA from Pelobates cultripes (western spadefoot toad), 451 nucleotides. NCBI's taxonomy places the organism in Eukaryota, Metazoa, Chordata, Amphibia, Anura, Pelobatidae. The record is from the annotation of a GenBank genome assembly.
GGUCCAAAUUACUACCAUUGGCAGAAUUUGCUUACAACAAUAAUGCUCACUCUUCAACAACACAAUAGUCCAUGUCAUAGGCACUAUGGUUAUAAUGUUUACAUCUAUAGAUAUUUCUUCUUCUUUUCCCAGACUUAAGAAUUUCCUUUAUGAAUUACAAUUAAAUCUCACUUUUAUUCAAAAUAAUAUUUAAAAAGCAAAAGCACAUGUAAACAUUUUUGGCAAGAAACAUCAUAAGGGAACAUGGUAUUACUGACAACUGAAAAAUUAAUUUUGCAUGUAGCAACCAAAAAAUGUGCUAACAAAUAUAUUGAUGGGGGCGGGGCCGGACCGCCGAGCUAGCUGGUCGCAAACAAGUGCAGCUCCUGCAAAACAACGACAAUUAAGCUGAAAAACCAUGCCUAAUCACCUUUAAAACGACCACCAGCGACAGUACCCAGAGCACAGGGAC